RNAcentral lists this ribosomal RNA (655 nucleotides) under Lysinibacillus cresolivorans. RNAcentral describes it as "bacterial SSU rRNA". It matches the Rfam family "Bacterial small subunit ribosomal RNA", at positions 851 to 1504 of the family's 1533-position model. Lineage: Bacteria; Bacillati; Bacillota; Bacilli; Caryophanales; Bacillaceae. The record is from RNAcentral.
GCUAACGCAUUAAAGCACUCCGCCUGCCGGAGUACGGUCGCAAGACUGAAACUCAAAGGAAUUGACGGGGGCCCGCACAAGCGGUGGAGCAUGUGGUUUAAUUCGAAGCAACGCGAAUAACCUUACCAGGUCUUGACAUCCCGUUGACCACUGUAGAGAUAUGGUUUCCCCUUCGGGGGCAACGGUGACAGGUGGUGCAUGGUUGUCGUCAGCUCGUGUCGUGAGAUGUUGGGUUAAGUCCCGCAACGAGCGCAACCCUUGAUCUUAGUUGCCAUCAUUUAGUUGGGCACUCUAAGGUGACUGCCGGUGACAAACCGGAGGAAGGUGGGGAUGACGUCAAAUCAUCAUGCCCCUUAUGACCUGGGCUACACACGUGCUACAAUGGACGAUACAAACGGUUGCCAACUCGCGAGAGGGAGCUAAUCCGAUAAAGUCGUUCUCAGUUCGGAUUGUAGGCUGCAACUCGCCUACAUGAAGCCGGAAUCGCUAGUAAUCGCGGAUCACCAUGCCGCGGUGAAUACAUUCCCGGGCCUUGUACACACCGCCCGUCACACCACAAGAGUUUGUAAAACCCGAAGAUGGUGAGAUAACCUUUUGAAGCCACCGCCAAAGGUGGGAUAAAUGAUUGGGGUGAAGUCGUAACAAGGUAACCGAA